Molecule: ribosomal RNA, 238 nt
Filed under: uncultured bacterium
Lineage: Bacteria
Description: partial 16S ribosomal RNA
Rfam family: Bacterial small subunit ribosomal RNA
Source: RNAcentral
CGGCGGACGGGUGAGUAACGCGUGGGUAACCUGCCUCAUACAGGGGGAUAACAGUUGGAAACGGCUGCUAAUACCGCAUAAGCGCACAGUACCGCAUGGUACGGUGUGAAAAACUCCGGUGGUAUGAGAUGGACCCGCGUCUGAUUAGGUAGUUGGUGGGGUAACGGCCUACCAAGCCGACGAUCAGUAGCCGACCUGAGAGGGUGAUCGGCCACACUGGGACUGAGACACGGCCCAG